This 569-nucleotide long non-coding RNA is filed under the name Hordeum vulgare. RNAcentral describes it as "long non-coding RNA (HVUL_LNC020657)". The record is from RNAcentral. Lineage: Eukaryota; Viridiplantae; Streptophyta; Magnoliopsida; Poales; Poaceae.
AAUUACAUUAGUACAAGGACGAGACACGACGUGGCUACAUGAGUUCGUACAAAGUUUAAAUUGAUGAAGGGCGGCCUAGAUAGGGGCCUAGAGCUAGGCUGACAGAUCAACACUAUUUUUAUUCCAAACAAACUGAGCUAGGAAACAUACGCUGAAAAACACAAACGAACUCCAGCAUCGGCCGCCGGAAUCAGGUGGAAGAAGCGGAGUUGUGGGAUGCACGGAGGGUGCUCCGCAUCUGCGGGCAGCGAGCGUCGCGGAGGCACAGAACAGUCCGAUCGUUGAGCCCCUCCGUGCACAGCCUCCGGAUGACGCCGCAGGCGCAGUUUCCUCGGGUACGACAGAGGUCAUCACUGUUGAAGCCGUAGAUCAACUAGGCAUAGAUAGAUCCGGAUUUACCAUUGUACUCACCUAAUCCCGAGCCCGAGGAACUCCCUGCUCCGGCCAUCGGUGCCGGUGUAGUCGUUGGUGGCGUGAGGGAAGAGGUGUGGUUGUGGGUGGUGCUUCCCGUGAGCACUGCGCUAACCCUAGAUCGGAAGGGGAUUUAGGUGGGGAGUCUGGCGGCGCGG